RNAcentral lists this ribosomal RNA (322 nucleotides) under Alphaproteobacteria bacterium. Its description in RNAcentral is "partial 16S ribosomal RNA". Lineage: Bacteria; Pseudomonadati; Pseudomonadota; Alphaproteobacteria. The record is from RNAcentral.
GGAGUCUGGGCCGUGUCUCAGUCCCAAUGUGGCUGAUCGUCCUCUCAGACCAGCUACAGAUCGUAGGUUUGGUAGGCCUUUACCCCACCAACUGCCUAAUCUGCCGCGGGCCAUUCUAUUAGCGAUAAAUCUUUCCCCCUCAGGGCUUAUCCGGUAUUAGCUGACGUUUCCAUCAGUUGUUCCGAACCAAUAGGUAUGUUCCCACGUAUUACUCACCCGUGCGCCACUCUCAUCCAAAAUAGCAAGCUACCUUGAAAUCCCGUUCAACUUGCAUGUGUUAAGCCUGCCGCCAGCGUCGUUCUGAGCCACGGAUCAAACUACU